GGGUCCGCACAAGCGGUGGAGCAUGUGGUUUAAUUCGAAGAUACGCGCAGAACCUUACCAACACUUGACAUGUUCGUCGCGACUCUAAGAGAUUAGAGUUUUCGGUUCGGCCGGACGAAACACAGGUGCUGCAUGGCUGUCGUCAGCUCGUGUCGUGAGAUGUUGGGUUAAGUCCCGCAACGAGCGCAACCCUCACUUUUAGUUGCCAUCAUUUAGUUGGGCACUCUGAAAGAACUGCCAGUGAUAAGCUGGAGGAAGGUGGGGAUGACGUCAAGUCCUCAUGGCCCUUACGUGUUGGGCUACACACGUGCUACAAUGGUAUCUACAACAGGAAGCAAGACGGCGACGUUAAGCAAAUCCUUAAAAAAUACCUCAGUUCGGAUUGCACUCUGCAACUCGAGUGCAUGAAGCUGGAAUUACUAGUAAUCG
RNAcentral lists this ribosomal RNA (429 nucleotides) under uncultured bacterium. Its description in RNAcentral is "bacterial SSU rRNA". It matches the Rfam family "Bacterial small subunit ribosomal RNA", at positions 917 to 1344 of the family's 1533-position model. The record is from RNAcentral.